UUCGCAAUGCCCGAAAGGGUGACGAAGCGACGCCGCGUGCGGGAAGAAGGCCUUCGGGUUGUAAACCGCUGUCGGGAGUUAAGAAAUGCAGGGGUGUUAACAGCGUCCUUGCUUGACUAAGGCUCCGGAGGAAGCCACGGCUAACUCUGUGCCAGCAGCCGCGGUAAUACAGAGGCGGCAAGCGUUGUUCGGAAUUAUUGGGCGUAAAGAGCACGUAGGCGGCUAUGUAAGUCGGUUGUGAAAGCCUUCCGCUCAACGGGAGAACAGCAUCCGAUACUGCAUGGCUUGAGUGCGGGAGGGGAGAGUGGAACUUCUGGUGGAGCGGUGAAAUGCGUAGAUAUCAGAAGGAACGCCGGCGGCGAAAGCGGCUCUCUGGCCCAUAACUGACGCUGAGUGUGCGAAAGCUAGGGGAGCAAACGGGAUUAGAUACCCCGGUAGUCCUAGCCGUAAACGAUGGGCACUAAGUAGAGGGGUUUU
Molecule: ribosomal RNA, 477 nt
Filed under: uncultured anaerobic ammonium-oxidizing bacterium
Lineage: Bacteria
Description: bacterial SSU rRNA
Rfam family: Bacterial small subunit ribosomal RNA
Source: RNAcentral